CCAAUCUGCCCUACCCAAAUCAAAAAUAAGUAAACAAAAAAUAUAAAAUAAUAAUAAACCAAAACCAAAAUUAAAAGUCCAAAAAAAACCAAUAACAUAGUCCAGUUUUGUACAUCAGCAGGCCUAAAUCUAAAUAGGCCCAAAUGCAUAUGCUCAGAAGACUAAACCCGAAUGGCCCAAUUACACCUAGCCCAAAUCAGCCCAAAAUUACAACCAAACUUAAAUUUAACCGAGCCCACUAAAUCAAAAGACCUAGCCCGAAUGCCCAAAC
This 271-nucleotide long non-coding RNA is filed under the name Gossypium raimondii (Peruvian cotton). RNAcentral's name for it is "long non-coding RNA (GRAI_LNC009340)". The record is from RNAcentral. Lineage: Eukaryota; Viridiplantae; Streptophyta; Magnoliopsida; Malvales; Malvaceae.